CUGUUAAUGUGAUAUAUGUCACCAAGAGCCAAUGCACGUCGAGUUUAAGGGGGACUAUCGAACAUGCACAGCCCAAGGCACAGUGGGUCAGUCUUUCGCAAGACUUAAGCAAUGGCAGGCAAAACUAUAAAGCAAGCAGCAAGUUGUAACAAUUUUAUAUAGUAACAGGUCCAAAUAAUAAUAAUGAUGCCAAAACAAUUUACAAAUAAAUAAAGUCC
This 218-nucleotide long non-coding RNA is filed under the name Mytilus galloprovincialis (Mediterranean mussel). Lineage: Eukaryota; Metazoa; Mollusca; Bivalvia; Mytilida; Mytilidae. The record is from RNAcentral.